GAUGAACGCUGGCGGCGUGCCUAAUACAUGCAAGUCGAGCGAACGGACGAGACGCUUGCUUCUCUGAUGUUAGCGGCGGACGGGUGAGUAGCACGUGGAUAACCUACCUAUAAGACUGGGAUAACUUCGGGAAACCGGAGCUCAUACCGGAUAAUAUUUUGAACCGCAUGGUUCAAAAGUGAAAGAUGGUCUUGCUGUCACUUAUAGAUGGAUCCGCGCUGCAUUAGCUAGUUGGUAAGGUAACGGCUUACCAAGGAAACGAGGCAUAGCCGACCUGAGAGGGUGGUCGGCCACACUGGAACUGAGACACGGUCCAGACUCCGACGCGAGGCAGCAGUAGGGAAGCGGCCGCAGUGGGCGAAAGCCUGACGGAGCAACGCCGCUUGAGUGGUGAAGGCGCUCGGAUCGUAAAACUCUGUUAUUAGGGAAGAACAUAUGUGUAAGUAACUGUGCACGUCUUGACGGUACCUAAUGAGAAAGCCCCGGCUAACUACGUG
Molecule: ribosomal RNA, 497 nt
Filed under: uncultured bacterium
Lineage: Bacteria
Description: partial 16S ribosomal RNA
Rfam family: Bacterial small subunit ribosomal RNA
Source: RNAcentral